Molecule: ribosomal RNA, 841 nt
Filed under: Arthrobacter sp. 3A
Lineage: Bacteria; Bacillati; Actinomycetota; Actinomycetes; Micrococcales; Micrococcaceae
Description: bacterial SSU rRNA
Rfam family: Bacterial small subunit ribosomal RNA
Source: RNAcentral
GAACGAUGAUCCCAGCUUGCUGGGGGAUUAGUGGCGAACGGGUGAGUAACACGUGAGUAACCUGCCCUUGACUCUGGGAUAAGCCUGGGAAACUGGGUCUAAUACCGGAUAUGACCGCUCUGACGACAUGUCAGGUGGUGGAAAGCUUUUGUGGUUUUGGAUGGACUCGCGGCCUAUCAGCUUGUUGGUGGGGUAAUGGCCUACCAAGGCGACGACGGGUAGCCGGCCUGAGAGGGUGACCGGCCACACUGGGACUGAGACACGGCCCAGACUCCUACGGGAGGCAGCAGUGGGGAAUAUUGCACAAUGGGCGCAAGCCUGAUGCAGCGACGCCGCGUGAGGGAUGACGGCCUUCGGGUUGUAAACCUCUUUCAGUAGGGAAGAAGCGAAAGUGACGGUACCUGCAGAAGAAGCGCCGGCUAACUACGUGCCAGCAGCCGCGGUAAUACGUAGGGCGCAAGCGUUAUCCGGAAUUAUUGGGCGUAAAGAGCUCGUAGGCGGUUUGUCGCGUCUGCUGUGAAAGACCGGGGCUCAACUCCGGUUCUGCAGUGGGUACGGGCAGACUAGAGUGAUGUAGGGGAGACUGGAAUUCCUGGUGUAGCGGUGAAAUGCGCAGAUAUCAGGAGGAACACCGAUGGCGAAGGCAGGUCUCUGGGCAUUAACUGACGCUGAGGAGCGAAAGCAUGGGGAGCGAACAGGAUUAGAUACCCUGGUAGUCCAUGCCGUAAACGUUGGGCACUAGGUGUGGGGGACAUUCCACGUUUUCCGCGCCGUAGCUAACGCAUUAAGUGCCCCGCCUGGGGAGUACGGCCGCAAGGCUAAAACUCAAAGGAAUUGACGG